UCUGAAGUCCUUUUAUAGUGCUAGGCAAUACUACCUAUUACCAUAUAAGCCACAACUGGAAAGAUGCACACGCUUUCACAUGGGUCUUCACGCCAUGGCACACAUUAGCCGGCAGUGUUUCUGAGUGGUGUAGAAAAUAGUUGUGCAUCCCAGACACAAUGAAAUAUGGUUAUUUUGCUAAUAUCCUGUUUCUGGCAAUUAAACUACUGUGUCUGCUUUGGGAAAUCACGAGGGUGGGCAUGUGCCCCAUCUGCUUAUGCAGAGGGUGGAGGACCAGGCAGAAUCAGGAGAUCUGAGCUGGCCUCCCUCUGCACCCCACCCCAGGCACCUGCCUCCUCUCCAGCUUAUCUCCCCCAUCCCCUUCCCAGGUUGCCAUUGACAACCUGCCAUUCUCAGAGCACGCUUCUGAGCUGCCGAGCCUUCGCACCUGCUGGCUCCUCCACCUGAAUGCCCUUCUCUCUAUCCUCUUCCUGGAAACCCCAGCUGCCUCAGGAUAUGGUUCAGUCAUCACCUCCUUCAUCCAGCCUUCUCUACCUCUUUGUCUUAACAUUGAAAUGGCCAGCGUGUUCUUCUACCUGCCUGCCAGACAUGCAGGCCCAAGGUACCAGGAGGCAGAUGCUGACAGAUGCAUCUCAGUAUGCCCGGCACCUCCACCACACAAGGGCUGUGCUGGUUGCUGUGGGAAUGCUGCAGGGCACAAAACGGAUAAUGCUGGAGGGAGAAGACAGCAAACACAAGACUCAAGAAACUCCAGUAUGUAAGAAGAGGAUAUGCACAAUGGAAGAGGGAAGCCGCCGUGCAGAGUGUCGGGGUGCACUUUUAAAUGGGACAGUCAAGGUAAGCCUCACUGCAAAGGUGACCUCUGAGCAGAGGUCUGAGGGAGGUGAGGAAUGAGAAGAGUGAACAGCCAGUAUGAAGAUCCAAGGUGGGAGUAUGCCCCUGGUGUGUUCAAGGAAAGCACCAAGGGCUCAUCCUGGCAGCUAUGUAGAGCAUUACUAUAGGGGUCAAGUACCGCAGCAGGGACAGCAAUUAGUAGGCUACUGCAAGAGUCCAGGUAUUUGAAGUGAAAGAAAGAG
Long non-coding RNA from Gorilla gorilla gorilla (western lowland gorilla), 1076 nucleotides. RefSeq lists it as uncharacterized. The transcript has 3 exons. NCBI's taxonomy places the organism in Eukaryota, Metazoa, Chordata, Mammalia, Primates, Hominidae. The record is from RefSeq and is a predicted model, not a curated record.